This 467-nucleotide ribosomal RNA is filed under the name uncultured bacterium. Its description in RNAcentral is "partial 16S ribosomal RNA". It matches the Rfam family "Bacterial small subunit ribosomal RNA", at positions 28 to 506 of the family's 1533-position model. The record is from RNAcentral.
GACGAACGCUGGCGGCGUGCUUAACACAUGCAAGUCGAACGGAAAGGCCCUGCUUUUGUGGGGUGCUCGAGUGGCGAACGGGUGAGUAACACGUGAGUAACCUGCCCUUGACUUUGGGAUAACUUCAGGAAACUGGGGCUAAUACCGGAUAGGAGCUCCUGCUGCAUGGUGGGGGUUGGAAAGUUUCGGCGGUUGGGGAUGGACUCGCGGCUUAUCAGCUUGUUGGUGGGGUAGUGGCUGACCAAGGCUUUGACGGGUAGCCGGCCUGAGAGGGUGACAGGCCACAUUGGGACUGGGAUGCGGCCCAGACGCAUACGGGAGGCAGGGGUGGAGAAUAUAGCACAAUGGGCCGAAGCCGGAUGCAGGAACGCCGCGUGCGGGAUGACGGCCUUCGGGUUGUAAACCGCUUUCGCGUGUGACGAAGCGUGAGUGACGGAAAUGGGUAAAGAAGCACCGGCUAACUACGG